AUUGCCUCAGUAACGGCGAGUGAAGCGGCAACAGCUCAAAUUUGAAAUCUGCCGCAAGGCCGAGUUGUAAUUUGUAGAGGAUGCUUCUGGGCAGCGGCCGGUCUAAGUUCCUUGGAACAGGACGUCAUAGAGGGUGAGAAUCCCGUAUGCGACCGGUUGGCACCCGUCACGUAGCUCCUUCGACGAGUCGAGUUGUUUGGGAAUGCAGCUCUAAAUGGGUGGUAAAUUCCAUCUAAAGCUAAAUACCGGCCAGAGACCGAUAGCGCACAAGUAGAGUGAUCGAAAGAUGAAAAGCACUUUGGAAAGAGAGUUAAAAAGCACGUGAAAUUGUUGAAAGGGAAGCGCAUGCAACCAGACUUGUCGGCGGUGUUCCGCCGGUCUUCUGACCGGUCUACUCGCCGCCGACAGGCCAGCAUCGUGUGGGUGUGCCGGAUAAAGGCGUCGGGAAUGUGGCCCCUCGGGGUGUUAUAGCCCGGCGCAUAAUACGGUGCCGCCCGCGCGAGGUCCGCGCUUCGGCUAGGAUGCUGGCGUAAUGGUCGUAUGCGGCCCGUCUUGAAACACGGACCAAGGGGUCUAACAUCUGUGCGAGUGUUCGGGUGUCAAACCCCUACGCGGAAUGAAAGUGAACGGAGGUGGGAGCUUCGGCGCACCAUCGACCGAUCCUGAUGUCCUCGGAUGGAUUUGAGUAAGAGCAUAGCUGUUGGGACCCGAAAGAUGGUGAACUAUGCCUGAAUAGGGUGAAGCCAGAGGAAACUCUGGUGGA
Molecule: ribosomal RNA, 763 nt
Filed under: uncultured fungus
Lineage: Eukaryota; Fungi
Description: LSU rRNA
Rfam family: Eukaryotic large subunit ribosomal RNA
Source: RNAcentral